GACAAUUAGAUUGAUUAUACCUGAAAUGCAAGAAAAGUUCUGUAAUGUGCAAAUAUGCUAGCCCGGCUGAUUGCUGAUAAUUACCCCCCUUCUACCCUGUGUGCAGUGACUAAUAAAAUAAAUCUGGAUGAGAAUACUGUCCAUAUUUAAUUCAGUGGCAUGGGGGGAAAAUAACAUAAAUACAAUUUGGGGGCAUCCCUGUAUGUUUAAAACCCACCAUCACAGGGCCCAUCCUGCAAAGAUCACUGAAGUUUCAGUCUCACAUUUGCCCCAAGAUUAUGGGUGGUUAAGUAAACCCUAUAGAAGGACCA
Molecule: long non-coding RNA, 311 nt
Organism: Spea bombifrons (plains spadefoot toad)
Lineage: Eukaryota; Metazoa; Chordata; Amphibia; Anura; Pelobatidae
Exons: 2
Source: RefSeq, a predicted model, not a curated record